ACAAUUACUAUAUAUAGAUUAAAAUGUUGGUGGGGAAUUGAAUGAUAUGUGUGGCCUUACCGCACCCACCCACCCUAAGGAGUAAAAGGAGGAAUCCCUAAGGACUAAAGGAGUGUUGAUGAUAUACUAUCCGACCCGUUUGUGAGACGACCCGACAUGAACAUGUGUACUUUAUUAAAUGGGUAUAAAAGUUUUUGGAACUAUG
Molecule: long non-coding RNA, 205 nt
Filed under: Capsella rubella
Lineage: Eukaryota; Viridiplantae; Streptophyta; Magnoliopsida; Brassicales; Brassicaceae
Description: long non-coding RNA (CRUB_LNC001346)
Source: RNAcentral